GAGAUUUUCGCAAUGCCCGAAAGGGUGACGCAGCAACGCCGCGUGGGUGAUGAAGCUUUUCGGAGUGUAAAGCCCUGUCAGAGGGGAAGAAACCCCCGCCUUGUGCGGGGCUGACGGUAUCCUCAGAGGAAGCUCCGGCCAACUCCGUGCCAGCAGCCGCGGUAAUACGGGGGGAGCAAGCGUUGUUCGGAAUCACUGGGCGUAAAGGGUGCGUAGGCUGGUUGGUAAGUCAGACGUGAAAACUCCGGGCUUAACUCGGAGCCUGCGUUUGAAACUGCCUAUCUUGAGUACGGGAGAGGGAAGUGGAAUUCCUGGUGUAGCGGUGAAAUGCGUAGAUAUCAGGAAGAACUCCGGUGGCGAAGGCGGCUUCCUAGACCGAUACUGACGCUGAGGCACGAAAGCUAGGGGAGCAAACAGGAUUAGAUACCCUGGUAGUCCUAGCCGUAAACGAUGGGCACUAAGUAGAGGGGUUUUA
Molecule: ribosomal RNA, 475 nt
Filed under: uncultured bacterium
Lineage: Bacteria
Description: bacterial SSU rRNA
Rfam family: Bacterial small subunit ribosomal RNA
Source: RNAcentral